UACGUAGGUGGCGAGCGUUAUACGGAUUUAUUGGGCGUAAAGGGUGCGUAGGCGGUUAAUUAAGUCUAAAAUCAAACCUUGGAGCUUAACUCCAUUUCGUUUUAGAAACUGAAUAACUAGAGUACGGUAGAGGCAAAUGGAAUUCCUAGUGUAGCGGUGGAAUGCGUAGAUAUUAGGAGGAACACCAGUGGCGAAAGCGAUUUGCUAGGCCGAAACUGACGCUAAUGCACGAAAGCGUGGGGAGC
This 245-nucleotide ribosomal RNA is filed under the name uncultured Clostridia bacterium. RNAcentral describes it as "partial 16S ribosomal RNA". It matches the Rfam family "Bacterial small subunit ribosomal RNA", at positions 524 to 769 of the family's 1533-position model. Lineage: Bacteria; Bacillati; Bacillota; Clostridia. The record is from RNAcentral.